GACGAACGCUGGCGGCGCGCCUAACACAUGCAAGUCGAACGAGCGAGAGAGAGCUUGCUUUCUCGAGCGAGUGGCGAACGGGUGAGUAACGCGUGAGGAACCUGCCUCAAAGAGGGGGACAACAGUUGGAAACGACUGCUAAUACCGCAUAAGCCCACGGCUCGGCAUCGAGCAGAGGGAAAAGGAGCAAUCCGCUUUGAGAUGGCCUCGCGUCCGAUUAGCUGGUUGGUGAGGUAACGGCCCACCAAGGCGACGAUCGGUAGCCGGACUGAGAGGUUGAACGGCCACAUUGGGACUGAGACACGGCCCAGACUCCUACGGGAGGCAGCAGUGGGGAAUAUUGCACAAUGGGGGAAACCCUGAUGCAGCGACGCCGCGUGGAGGAAGAAGGUCUUCGGAUUGUAAACUCCUGUUGUUGGGGAAGAUAAUGACGGUACCCAACAAGGAAGUGACGGCUAACUACGUGCCAGCAGCCGCGGUAAAACGUAGGUCACAAGCGUUGUCCGGAAUUACUGGGUGUAAAGGGAGCGCAGGCGGGAAGACGAGUUGGAAGUGAAAUCUAUGGGCUCAACCCAUAAACUGCUUUCAAAACUGUUUUUCUUGAGUAGUGCAGAGGUAGGCGGAAUUCCCGGUGUAGCGGUGGAAUGCGUAGAUAUCGGGAGGAACACCAGUGGCGAAGGCGGCCUACUGGGCACCAACUGACGCUGAGGCUCGAAAGUGUGGGUAGCAAACAGGAUUAGAUACCCUGGUAGUCCACACCGUAAACGAUGAUUACUAGGUGUUGGAGGAUUGACCCCUUCAGUGCCGCAGUUAACACAAUAAGUAAUCCACCUGGGGAGUACGACCGCAAGGUUGAAACUCAAAGGAAUUGACGGGGGCCCGCACAAGCAGUGGAGUAUGUGGUUUAAUUAGACGCAACGCGAAGAACCUUACCAAGUCUUGACAUCCUGCGACGGUGCUGGAAACAGUACUUUCCUUCGGGACGCAGAGACAGGUGGUGCAUGGUUGUCGUCAGCUCGUGUCGUGAGAUGUUGGGUUAAGUCCCGCAACGAGCGCAACCCUUAUGGUCAGUUACUACGCAAGAGGACUCUGGCCAGACUGCCGUUGACAAAACGGAGGAAGGUGGGGAUGACGUCAAAUCAUCAUGCCCUUUAUGACUUGGGCUACACACGUACUACAAUGGCGUUAAACAAAGAGAAGCAAGACCGCGAGGUGGAGCAAAACUCAGAAACAACGUCCCAGUUCGGACUGCAGGCUGCAACUCGCCUGCACGAAGUCGGAAUUGCUAGUAAUCGUGGAUCAGCAUGCCACGGUGAAUACGUUCCCGGGCCU
Molecule: ribosomal RNA, 1332 nt
Filed under: uncultured bacterium
Lineage: Bacteria
Description: bacterial SSU rRNA
Rfam family: Bacterial small subunit ribosomal RNA
Source: RNAcentral